This is a long non-coding RNA of Vicia villosa (hairy vetch), 387 nucleotides long. RefSeq lists it as uncharacterized. The record is from RefSeq and is a predicted model, not a curated record. The transcript is spliced from 3 exons. Lineage: Eukaryota; Viridiplantae; Streptophyta; Magnoliopsida; Fabales; Fabaceae.
GUGGAGUCUGGUGGGGAUGAUACUGUGCAGGAUGCAGAUGAUGUUCAGUCUGAUGGUGACGAUGUUCAGGGGGAGGAUGAUCCGAGUGAGAUUCAUAUCAUUGACGGUAGAUAUUAUAUUUGGCCCGCUGGAAAUUCGUUUGGGCCGAGUCGGACUGCUGCCAGGUGUGUGUACUAUGUGAUUCAGCACAUGUAUAAAGAAGCUUGGACGACUUUUGGAGAUGUUACAAAUAAAGAUGCUUGGUUUAAUUGCUUUAAGGAAAAGUGUACGUGGGAUCCAAUGAGCGAGAAACUUGUUAAAAAAAAUUAUUUCAGCAGAACAUCAAAAAGACUUUCUGACACGUUGCGAAAUGUUAGAAAGCGUUGGGAACGUGAUGGUAGUCGUCCU